GUCUAUGGCCAUGCCACCCCGAACGUGCCCGAUUCCAUCCGAACUCGGAAGCUCAGCAGGAUCGGGCCUGGUUAGUACUUGGAUGGGAGACCACCUAGGAAGACCAGGUGCUGUAGGUG
This 119-nucleotide ribosomal RNA is filed under the name Pteropus alecto (black flying fox). Lineage: Eukaryota; Metazoa; Chordata; Mammalia; Chiroptera; Pteropodidae. The record is from RNAcentral. RNAcentral also lists the same sequence under 1 other name.